Molecule: non-coding RNA, 1666 nt
Organism: Camellia sinensis
Lineage: Eukaryota; Viridiplantae; Streptophyta; Magnoliopsida; Ericales; Theaceae
Source: RefSeq, a predicted model, not a curated record
CUGGGUUAUAUUACCAAACACAUUGUUCUUUAAUGUUUCAUAGACUUAAGUGCAUCAUUGUAUUACCAUCAUUUUGCAGACCGAUACUGUUGUCCUCUAUGUGUGUCCACUUCUGUUUUCUCGUGGAAGGUAACUCUGGCUGGGUCUUGAAUUUCAUUCCUUUCAUGUAGCUGGUGUUUUGAACUGCUGAAGAGGUACUAAACGAUGAGACUUUUUAGUUAUAUUCUAGAAUAUACUUACAUUGUUUUAACUUUUAAGAAUUAUCUUAUUCUUCAAAUUUGGGCCUUUGGCGAGGACGGUAGGGGAUAAGGGGCAAGAUUGUAAUGAUAUUGAGUCAUGCUAAGUGUGUUGAAUUCUACAUUGAAAGUCUACAUGUGAGGUCUUGGGAUAUAAUUGGGGACUAUGAACCCAAUUGAUAUCAUAGGUUGGCCCUUUUAUGUGAGAAUCAAGGUUGUUGUUAUUAUUAAACACCACUCUAUGCGUGUUUGUGCUUUAUGUUUAGUUUAGUUUAUGUUUUUGUCUACUUCCCUCUCCACCUGCCAGAUGGGAACACAUGAGGGAGGGUGUUAGCUUAUUUACAUUGAUGGACUCAUUCUGAAUAGUUUAAGAUUUUUGGACAAUUGGUUAUCUAGCAAAAUGUAACCAAUCCAUAGUCCAUUGGUAAAGUUUGUAGCAUCUUGCAGAUAGGUGUCAAAGACUUAACUGUUCAGUGCAAGCCACAAUUAAAGCCUGAAUUGACGCAUUUACAUAUUAUCAUUCUAGCAUAAUUUCCAGCUACUUGGGAAAAAAGGCAUUAAAAUGGAAUUUAUGGAAGUACUCUAAUGCAAUUAAAGGAGAGAUAGCGAAUAUCUUUUGAUUCCAUAUGCAUAGCCGUGGCAUCUCAAGCUUCUUCAGCUAAUAUAAAGAGGAAAACGGAGAAACAUGUUGAUGAUGGUGGUGGUGAUAUAGUUGAAGCAGUACCAAACCUGAAGUUGCUUCAGCAUCAUCAUUGGGAGGUGCUAGUGAGUAUGACAAUUCAACUCCAUUGGUCCAGUGCAAGACAGUGGGGAUGUUAAUGACAGUGCAGAUGCAGCAAAGUUGAUUGAAAAUAUGGGGUUGAGUGAGGAGGUAAAUGGUUCAUCAGAAUAUGGAGGCGAAGAUAAGAAUGGGACGACUUUCAAUGACACUGAUCGAGCCGACACUGAUGACAACGGCGAUAAUAAACCAGAGCAUCCCGGUGAAGUGUCAAAAUACGAAAGAAAUAUGGAACUUCUUAACAUCAUGACACACUCCAUUUUUUUGAGUUUUCUGUUAGGAGCGCUCUCUCUCUCUCUCAUGUGUAUUGUGUAGAAUAUAUGUACAGAAAUUUCUUAGCUUAGUUUGCAUGUCAGGGUUGAUCUGUUAUCUAGUUACAGCAUAGCCUAGUUGAUUUUGUGUAGUAUCACCAGAUGGUGCAUUUUUCGACUCUCAUUCAUAACCGUAUCUCAUUUUUUGUGCCAGUUGGACUUCAUUUCUAUUUUUUUUAAUGGAUGAAAUCGACAGCAUUGGAUUUGCUUGAAUGGAAUUUGGAUCUGGUAAUGGUGAUAGUGAAGUGCAGGGGACGAUGCUGGAGCUUCUCAAUCAACUAGAUGGAUUAGAGCAUCUAACAAAAUCAAAGUACUGAUUUCAUUCUCUUAAACUAGCAACA